CCCGCUCUAAUAACCACUGGACUCGUAGUCCGCGCUGCUGCGAUCGCAGGCAGUGCCCGCUCUAAAUAUCCACUGGACUCGUAGUCCGCGCUGCUGCAGUCGCGAGCCGUGCUCGCUCUUAUACCCUCACCCAUCUUGUUCGGGAUACCUGAUGUCUGAAAUACGUGAACCAGACGCUGACAUACGUUUUCACCCUCCUCCUUCCCCACCGCCUCCAGUUCGGUCCCGCCGGUUGCCCAGGGGAUAGGCUCCGCCCCCGCCGAACAAGUACGGCAGGAUCUGCGAGGUUCCAGACGCUGCGGACCUGGGCUUCGACGGGGCUUUCGCCAAAGACUCCAUAUACACUAUAUUCACUAUUACUAAUUGUCAUACGUGUUUAUUGGGAUUAAAUCUUUCUUGCUGCA
Long non-coding RNA from Astyanax mexicanus (Mexican tetra), 404 nucleotides. RefSeq lists it as uncharacterized. NCBI's taxonomy places the organism in Eukaryota, Metazoa, Chordata, Actinopteri, Characiformes, Acestrorhamphidae. The record is from RefSeq and is a predicted model, not a curated record. The transcript is spliced from 3 exons.